This 468-nucleotide ribosomal RNA is filed under the name uncultured bacterium. RNAcentral describes it as "partial 16S ribosomal RNA". It matches the Rfam family "Bacterial small subunit ribosomal RNA", at positions 28 to 507 of the family's 1533-position model. The record is from RNAcentral.
GACGAACGCUGGCGGCGUGCUCAACACAUGCAAGUCGAACGGAAAGGCCCUGCUUUUGUGGGGUGCUCGAGUGGCGAACGGGUGAGUAACACGUGAGUAACCUGCCCUUGACUUUGGGAUAACUUCAGGAAACUGGGGCUAAUACCGGAUAGGAGCUCCUGCUGCAUGGUGGGGGUUGGAAAGUUUCGGCGGUUGGGGAUGGACUCGCGGCUUAUCAGCUUGUUGGUGGGGUAGUGGCUUACCAAGGCUUUGACGGGUAGCCGGCCUGAGAGGGUGACCGGCCACAUUGGGACUGAGAUACGGCCCAGACUCCUACGGGAGGCAGCAGUGGGGAAUAUUGCACAAUGGGCGGGAGCCUGAUGCAGCAACGCCGCGUGCGGGAUGACGGCCUUCGGGUUGUAAACCGCUUUCGCCUGUGACGAAGCGUGAGUGACGGUAAUGGGUAAAGAAGCACCGGCUAACUACGUG